RNAcentral lists this non-coding RNA (177 nucleotides) under Pseudoleptotrichia goodfellowii. RNAcentral's name for it is "Leptotrichia goodfellowii Lysine sequence". It matches the Rfam family "Lysine riboswitch aptamer". Rfam says of the family: Riboswitches are metabolite binding domains within certain messenger RNAs that serve as precision sensors for their corresponding targets. Allosteric rearrangement of mRNA structure is mediated by ligand binding, and this results in modulation of gene expression. This family includes riboswitches that sense lysine in a number of genes involved in lysine metabolism, including lysC. RNAcentral also lists the same sequence under 1 other name. The record is from RNAcentral. Lineage: Bacteria; Fusobacteriati; Fusobacteriota; Fusobacteriia; Fusobacteriales; Leptotrichiaceae.
CACAAAGAUAGAGGUGCGAUUAUUAAGAGUAAAUUUAUGGAGAACAGUCAAUUCGGCGAAGUAAAUUGAAAGGAAUAAUUGCCGAAGAACAAAGAUUGACUGGCUUUGUUACUGGGGCUGCGGAGAAUAUCCGUAGAACUGUCAUUAUCUUAACGAUAAUGGUGAGCUGUCAGAUAU